CCUGGUUUUUGGAAGUAAUGUCUGGGAAACUGCCCGAUGGAGGGGGAUAACUACUGGAAACGGUAGCUAAUACCGCAUAACGUCGCAAGACCAAAGUGGGGGACCUUCGGGCCUCACACCAUCGGAUGUGCCCAGAUGGGAUUAGCUAGUAGGUGGGGUAACGGCUCACCUAGGCGACGAUCCCUAGCUGGUCUGAGAGGAUGACCAGCCACACUGGAACUGAGACACGGUCCAGACUCCUACGGGAGGCAGCAGUGGGGAAUAUUGCACAAUGGGCGCAAGCCUGAUGCAGCCAUGCCGCGUGUAUGAAGAAGGCCUUCGGGUUGUAAAGUACUUUCAGCGGGGAGGAAGGCGGCAAGGUUAAUAACCUUGCCGAUUGACGUUACCCGCAGAAGAAGCACCGGCUAACUCCGUGCCAGCAUCCGCGCUAAUACGG
RNAcentral lists this ribosomal RNA (436 nucleotides) under Pantoea sp. Its description in RNAcentral is "bacterial SSU rRNA". It matches the Rfam family "Bacterial small subunit ribosomal RNA", at positions 94 to 528 of the family's 1533-position model. The record is from RNAcentral. Lineage: Bacteria; Pseudomonadati; Pseudomonadota; Gammaproteobacteria; Enterobacterales; Erwiniaceae.